GAUGCACUCCCCUCCCACCCUCAUCUCACGGAGCAGCACUUCUCCCUUCUUGAGGGGAAGAGCCACCCUUUGAAAGUCAGAUUUCAAAGUGGCUGGUCAAGGGGAAUCUACCUUCUAGACUACUGGAUUUUAUUUUGAUAAUUUGAUAUAAUUGCUGUAAGCUGAUUUAAACAUUUCAGUGAAUAAUUUAAUUUUGUUUGCAGCUUUAGGCUUCUGAAAAAUGCGGGGUGUCAUACUAAAAAUUCUAAUACGUAAAAUGUGCAAUGCAUAAUAAAAUGUGCAUAUUUUCUCAUUACCAUCUGCUUCUCCUUCUACUUCAGGGGGAGACUUCUUUAAAGGGUUGAAACCUCAGUGGGACACAAAUUGCCCAUCUUACGUACUCCAUCACUCAACCUGGGGAGCAAUGUGUGCUGCUAGGGAAGUAUGCUAGUCAAAGAGCCACCCGACCUGUGGACCAUUUGCUCUACAGAGCAAACAGAAAAGCCAUGUGGAGAGUCAUUUCUCUGUGAGCCAGCAACUGGUUUUCCAUCAUCAGACUCAGUGCUGGCGUUAGCUAUGCUUCAUGGAAUCACAGACUCUCACGGUGGAAAAGACUUUAGCUGUCUUCCACCUCAACCUUCUAGCUGUUGCAUUACUUCCUCCUAAAGGCAUCACAGGUAACUGGCUGACUAGGCCCUACUUACACCCUUCCAACGAGAGGAUACAGCUCUCUAACUACUCUGUAGAGCAACUUUCAUUCUACUUCAAUUAAAAACAUUUUAUAGUUAAUCGACUCUGUGCAAGGCACUGUCCUAGGUACCAAAGGAGAUAUGAAGAGCUAUAAGAAAACUCUUGUCUAGUUGGAGAAUAAGACACACACCCAACAUACUUCAUAAUAUCAGGCAGUCAAUGUUAGAAGUGAAACCCGUGGAGAUCAUGCUGAAUGGUGGCAAAGUUCAGGGGAAGGAGAGAUCCUAUCCAGUCGUGGUGAUUCAGGAAGCAUCUCUUGCCAUCUGCAGUGAGGUGACCCAAAGCUUCAGGAUUCAAGAGGCCAUCUGGUCUAGCCCUCUAUCUCUCAACCUGCCCAUAGCCUCUUUUCUUCCUUUCUGUGGUUUAAUCUUAAAUAAGCUGCUUGCCUAGAGUGAUGCCCUGCUCCCUGAUGAUAUGACUCCUGUGAGAACAAACUUGCAAACGGCUGCAUUCGAGGCACUGCUUCUUGCUGACAAGGGGUGGGGGCAACCUUCCUACAGUGAAGGCUUGUCUGGGGGAUGAGGCAGCAAUGACUCGCUGCAAAAUGGACAUAAAACAUGUCCAACACCAGAGAAACUCCAGUACAGAGUCCCUUCUUCCCCUAUGUUUCAGUUUCCAUGGAAAUCCCUUGAUGUGCGAAGGGAUUUUGUAUGUACCAAAGACAGAAUAUCAGAAAUUGGUAUAUUGAGGGUAAGCAAGCGAUCAGCAUUGGGAGGGAAUCACACAAAAGAACAGGUGUGUUGAAAACGGGGGCCAGAAAAUGGUAAUGGGAAAGCUAGUAUCAGAAAGCCACGGGGCAGGUUUGGAUCCAGAGCCUAGAGCAGGGCUGCAGCUGCUAAUGCAGGUCAGUAUCACCAGUAACAGGAGAGACUGGAUCUAGGCAGAACCUGACAGAUACAGAGUUCUGAACGCGUUACAACACGGUAAAUGUUCCAAAGAAAUAAACUCUACUUGACAGCAAGACUAUUACACUCAUUAGAUCCUGUUUGGAGAGUGCAGAAAAAUUGACAAGCUGAAAAUAAGUUUACUGGUUUGUUGUUUGUUUGUUGGUCUGGUUUUUUAGGGCCGACAGCUGCAGCUGGGGUAGGAAGUGAGUGCGAAGAAAGAAUGUGGUGACGCACACAUACUUGGAACCCUCAGAGCUUUUACUACCUGAGCAGCUUACAACAUGUAUCGGCAGCACCUUAAUCUUUUUUCCAACCAGGAGAAAGCAAGGGAUUUGCUAAGGACGGAGUCUCGCUUCACAGGGCAAGCGUGAGAACCCGCGUGGCUGCCACUGGGGGAGCACUGCACUGAGGCUCAAGGGACAGAACCACCUGGGCUGAGCACCUGAGUCGUACCGCUCUGCGAGCAGCUGGCACCGUGGGCACAGUUUUAAAGAGGAGGACACCGAGGUGUCGUGCGUUGGCCAUGGUCUAGGGCUGGUGAGUGGAAGGUCCUGGACAGGAUCGGCCCUCUGGCCCCCAGCCCAGGUCUCCUUCCUUGGCAUCUACCUCUCCUAGGGGGAUUGCUGGGAGGUGAGCGGCGUAAGGCCUAGGUAUACUGGGAAGAGCUCUGACUUCCAGCUGUGCAUGCUACAAGGCUAAACCUCUUACACCCAUAUCUCUUUUUCUCCCCCAAAAGCCCUACAUCCACAUACCAACCCUGCCCUUCUCACUGCAGUCACAGUACAGACUAAAAAUCUUCCUGGAGACCCGAACCCUUAAACCCACCACUUCUCAUGACAUCAGCACAAAGGCUGUUACUGGCACCAUUUAGCUAGGACGACUAGACCCCAGAGAGCCCGUGGCCACGUGGGUGAAAACACCAGUGCCCUGAGAGCUCACAGCCCCUGAGUGGCCCGCCUCUCCCUCUUCCUGCAACAGCAGCUCCGCUCCCUCAGCCAAAGCAGACGGCCACGGGGACGGUCCUCCCCGAGCACGGCUUUGCUUCCGAAGCGUGAAGCUCUAUGUAAAGGAUGACCUAGAUUUUCUGGAUGAGCGACUGCAAUCUAUAAAUGUCUAAUCAUGCGCACGAAUUGCCUAAAGUGAAGAAGAGCUUUCAGCUCUAUUGCCUCUGCUGAGCAAGGCCGUGGCCUUCCUUGGGGACUGCAGCCUCCAUCCAGACCUGUCACGUCUCAAGAAUCAGGGGUCUGAGAAGUCGUGAGGGAAGCUGUCCUCUUCCGUUCUGCAAAUUGGACACAGUCCCAAGUGUGGAGGUCAGGGGGCUGGGCCGGCACUAAAAGACAAGGGGCAGGAGGAGGCAUGAUGGGUAUGAGGUAGGCCCGGUGAUGGGGUCUGCGACCUGGUGAUGGAGUCAGCGGCCCAGUGAUGGAGUCUGUGACACUGUGAUGGAGUCUGCGACCCUGUGAUGGACUCUGGGACGAAGCCAUGACCUCAAAUUCUAAGAGCCGUUGUUGGAAGGCGGCACCAACUGAACACCCUGGGCAGGUGGCCGCUUCUCCGAGGCCCAUCUAAGUCCCUGGGAACAAUCGAAUUGUCCAGCUGGGUAGAGAAGCUGUGAUUUGAGUCCUUGGUGAGCUGCUGUCAACGCAGCCUACUUGGCUCACACAGUGACUGUCCCCCGCACAGCACCACAAGAAUGUGCCCGGCGGGGGGCGGACAGGCAGCAGGGCCCAGGCUCAGCUUCCCGAGGACAUAGAGAGCUGCCCGCAGGUGGCUGGAGGGAGGCCAGCGGACCCAAGACAAAGACACAACACAACAGGGAAGGGAAUCUGGGGCAGCCCUCCCUCUGCUCUCUCCUUGCUUGCUGGAGCGCGUUCCUAUCGCUUCAAUCUUGUCUGUUAAAUCCUGGGCCUUUUUUAGCGUAUUUGUUGACAGGCUGGAUAGGUAUUAAGCAGCAGCUCAGGGAACUUUCCAAACACUGACCUAGUGAAAUAACACAAGGCCUGUCUGAGACUUACUAGUUAGCCACGAACUCAGCCUUCUUCAGAAAGUUUUUCUCAGUAUUGAUUUGAUCCUAACAGACCUAGACGCCUAGUUAAUCUCGUUCCGGUGCAUGACAGGGCUGAAGCAAUUGGUGUACAUUGCCAUAAAAUGGCACUGCCCCCAACACUGUCUCACCACAAACUGUGUGCUUUCACCGUACAAACUGUCCUUGACUCAUAAUUCUCUGCAAUGAACAGGCCUGGACAAAAAACAUCAUCACACCAUCACGUAUGGUAAAAGGACUGAGUAAAAUCUUUUGUAAUCAGACAGAAGUUAUUCUGAAAGCCUCCUCGCCCUGUCUUUGGUUGUGGUGAGGAUUAGAUUACCUUUGAUUAAAGACAGAGAAACGCUUAGUAAACUGGGAAGCACUGUCAGGGUGGCGACCUGUUCUUAUUUCUCUUGCUGGAUUUGGAACACUACUUUGCUCCUGCUAGGCUCUCGUUAUUCCAGAGUGGAACAAUGAUUUUUCAUGAAAUACUUCAUUUUAACCACAACCCAAAGAGGGGCUGUCCACGCUGGUCUGUCACACUGUCCGUGCCCAUGAGACCAGAUGUGGUUUCCUGCAAGCAUGGUUCCAAUCCAUGGCAGAGUAAGUAGGGGCCUUCCAAACUUCUUUCCAGUUCUACGUUCUAAGUGCAACCCGCCCCUCGGGCCCUCAAGACAGAAGGAUUUCUUAGGGUUUACUGAGGUGCUAGAGAGAAAUCUGCAUGAGGACCCAGGAAUGACUCUGAAAGACAGAGCUUCACAGGUGGGUGAGGAAUCUCUUAUUCACUGAAGGAAAGAAAAAACUGCUCUCUACUCAGGAGCCAAGAGCAAAUAAGAAGGGGUUUCAAAACAGCUCACGUCAUGAACUGGCGCUGUGUCACCAUCUUACAGAAACAGCCAAAAUGCAACGGAAACUCACAAAGUGGAUACCAAUCGGAAGAUGGGAAGGCCGGGAGCACUAUCUGGUGUUCUGCCGGAGGAAAUACAGCAUCUGACCGGAACAAGUGAACUACAUUCAAAGUCCAGCCUGACUUCUCUCCCUCUCCCUCUCCCACUGGCGGUCUCUGUUGCUCUCCAGCUGUUAAACAUACAUGGAGCGCAGUACCAGGCCCUGUUCCAAGAGGGUCUUCACAUGUAUUAACUCUACGAGGUAGGUGGUAUUGUCAUGACAGAUGAAGAAACCGAGGUUAAAAGAGGGGUAAGGCAACGUGCCCAAGUCUAGCUGGUAAAUGGCAGUCCUGGGAUCUGAACCCAGGCUACCAAGCCCUGGGAUAGCGCUGUCAUUUCCAUGCCUCAGUUUGCUCAUUUGCAGAAUAAAAGCUUGAUAAUAUCUUGCCUCCAUCCCUCCCAGCACAGAGAUAAUCAGGAGAUCAGUCAAGAUAAGGAAAGCACUUUGAUAUCUUUUGGGGAGAACAAGGUCCUGCACUAAGUCCAAACCACCAUGAUAUCUGGUUGACUGGUGGGUCCUAAAUAUCUAGGCUGCCUGACGGUACAGUAGUCACGUAGCACACGAAACCUCGCGCCACUGCUGAAGUACCAACAACAUGCAUUUAUUAGGGCCUUCUCUCCUUGCACGUUAGCUUAUUUGAACCUCACACCAACUCUGCAGGAUGGGUAUUAUUUUUAUUUUACAGACGAGGAAACAGAGUAAGGUGAGGUGAGCUGCUUAAAGUCAUGUGCGUGGUGAGUGCCUGACCUGAGUCCAGGUCUUUCACCUCAAGCCCGGCCCUUUCCACUGUAUCCCACUGCUGCUCAUUCUGGGUUGAGAAGAUUAAAGGCACAUCGUUUCCAUCUCAGCUCUGGAGGGUUUCUGGUGCCAGCCUACCUGGAAAGGUACUGAGCACCCCUGGUGCUUGGGUGGGCUAGGCUAUUGUGGUGAUAGUUGUAUUUGUUUUUUCUGUUUUGUAGCACAAGUGCCUGACCUAAGCUUUGAUUGCUGAGGCAUCCAUUGCAAAGAGGCAUCCUUCAAAGACGGCUAUCUCUCAAAUACACACACUGCCAGCCACAAGACUAGAUAAAGGGCCAGGCCACCUCCCUGCACUGAGGCUCCUUGGUUUUACACAUUGUGGUUGAUUUCAAUAACUGACCAUUGGGCUACUUGUUUUUUCCUCUCCUCAUACUUUAGAAACUCCUGCCCUUAUGUCUUAAUUUCACCAAUAAAGACUGAGCCCAUCAAACAUUAGACCCACCCUCGACCCCAAUAUAUUCAGAACCCCUGGCCUGCGUGCCCUUUCUCUUUCUUUCUCUCCUCUCUCCCUCCCCCCACCCCAACCUUGCUGUGUGGCCCUAGGUAUGCUGUGUAAUUUCCAGGUCUUGUAAGCAAUAAACUUUUAUUUUUUCAAAGUU
Long non-coding RNA from Aethalodelphis obliquidens (Pacific white-sided dolphin), 5987 nucleotides. RefSeq lists it as uncharacterized. NCBI's taxonomy places the organism in Eukaryota, Metazoa, Chordata, Mammalia, Artiodactyla, Delphinidae. The record is from RefSeq and is a predicted model, not a curated record. The transcript is spliced from 2 exons.